Molecule: RNase P RNA, 385 nt
Filed under: Bacteroides sp.
Lineage: Bacteria; Pseudomonadati; Bacteroidota; Bacteroidia; Bacteroidales; Bacteroidaceae
Description: RNase P RNA component class A
Rfam family: Bacterial RNase P class A
About the family: Ribonuclease P (RNase P) is a ubiquitous endoribonuclease, found in archaea, bacteria and eukarya as well as chloroplasts and mitochondria. Its best characterised activity is the generation of mature 5'-ends of tRNAs by cleaving the 5'-leader elements of precursor-tRNAs.
Source: RNAcentral
GCAGUCGGGCAUUUCGUCGCUCGCCGCCUUUUCGCGGCGUGAGGAAAGUCCGGGCAACACAGAGCACCAUACUUCUUAACGGGAAGCUGUUGGCAACAGCAGAGUAGCGUGACAGAAAACAACCGCCCGCACUCGUGUGGGUAAGGGUGAAAAGGUGAGGUAAGAGCUCACCGGGCGACAUAGUGAUAUGCCGCGCCGCACGCCUUAUGGGUUGCAAGGCCAAGUAUACCGGCAUUUAAGGGUUGCUCGCCCAUUGUCGGGGGGUAGGCUGCUAAAGCCGUGGUGGCAACAUCCGGCUCAGAUAAAUGACGAAACGCCAUUGGUAACCCCCUCGCGCGGGGUAGUCCGUGGCCGACAUAACCCGGCUUAUCGUCCGGCUGCACUU